RNAcentral lists this long non-coding RNA (291 nucleotides) under Hordeum vulgare. Its description in RNAcentral is "long non-coding RNA (HVUL_LNC008715)". The record is from RNAcentral. Lineage: Eukaryota; Viridiplantae; Streptophyta; Magnoliopsida; Poales; Poaceae.
AGAGAAAAAACAUGUACUUUUCUUGGAGCAGGGAGAUGACGACAAUCAGACAAACCAUCUCGAAUCUACAUUCAGGUUUACUCCUCCUGAAGUUUUACUUUUUGCCGAAAUUUGUCGAUCUAGGGUUGGUUUGAUCCUCCAUUCAUAGUUUAUGUCCGACUAGCAAAUUAUAUUACUCUUUCUAGCAGGAGCAAAUUAUCUUCCUUGGUGUUGACCAACCAACAUGUGCAGAUAUACUUUCAACGGAUCCCAUGUACGUGUGUUGCUCGAUCGAAAGGCUGAAAACCUGUG